UACAUAGAACUUUUUCUUGUAUACGAAGCGAAGCUGAACAAGAACCUGAAACCAAUCACACUACAACCAGUAGUAUAGAGCUGCUAGAAAGGAACAAAAUAUAAAUAAAAACAGAAGUUUACUAUACAUACAUAACAUCUAGGUGUACAAAACGCUCGCUCCAGCGAGAUACAAUAUUAGUAUGUAUAAGAACUCAAAAUUACCACUACCUGUAGCUGGUAUACUCUAGAUCAGUAGCAACUGGGAAGGGAUCUAACUCGUGACUCCCUUUCAGCGGUCUGAAUCAGCAGCAACAGCAGCCGAAGAAGAAGGCUCUGCAAAAGAUUCCGACAACGGGGCGUGAGAACUACUGCAAAAAGAAGUAGUCCUCAGUGGGUACUGCUACUGUCACGCCCCACCCCGAAACCACUACCAAUUUGGCACGAUUCGGCCGCGGCGACAGACCGCCGAACGGACAGCACUCCCCACUGUCCGCCCAAGGCUCAACCACAGGAAUGUGUACAAGAAUUCACCCAGGACUUUAAAUUCUAAACAUACACAUUCAGCAAGGGCACAAACAGUGCCAACAACAAGAAGAGCAAGUAAUCCACGAGAUAUACAAGUGAAAUAAAGAGAGUACUUUACUAACUAUUACAUUAGUUACAUUCAUUACAUCAUUUUUCAUCCAAAAUACAUAGCUCUCCAACCUCACCUACAAGAAUCUCUCUCAAUACAUAGGUGACUAAUGCAAAAAGGAAAGCUACUAUGCUACCACGGUCUCACUGGUCGGGCGCGACGCCCUUGCCGCGGUCCUCUCUCUGCAGCCCCGAACCUACCACUGGAAAUAGAGUGGGGUGAGAACUAUCUUCCAUAGUUCCCAGUGGGCUCGGCCGCCGACCCUGCCGAUCUCCCCACUAGGUCCAAGUGGGCACAAGUAACAACAGAUAGAUUGAUAGAUAUGUAUCUGAAAGCUGUAAAUGCAGUAGUAGGAAAACUAUGCUACUAUGCCCAUAAUCAUGAAUAUGAAUGCAUGCGUCAUAUAAUAAGGUUUACUACCAAGCUAACAAAUUCGAUCCAUGUUCGAAUAGUAAUGUUCAAUGACAUUCAUAAACCUUUAACCUUUUCAUUUACCCAAUCUAUGGCGAGGCCCUAGGGCUCGCCCAUGACUCACCUUCAAAUCCCAAAGUGGGGAGGGAGCUCCAAGUGCACCCAAGCCCGGGACCGUCUGCGGACCUCCAUGUGGUCCGGACCUCCAAGUGGUCCUAGUCGCGCGACACUCCGGAGUACUCGACGACAAUCCCCUCCAUGUGGGGAUUGGAUGGCUAUGCCAUCCUAAACGCAGACUGUGAGCUAGAUCUAUCCUCUCCAAAUGAGGACACUCUACAACUAGAGUUAAUACCCAACCAAAUCCUCUCCAAGUGAGGACGCCCUACACAAGGGUCAACGACUAUCGCGGAAUCAUCGGUUCCCGACAUUCAUACAAUGUUAUUUAGUUUUCUAAAUUCAUUGUUCACAAGGCAUUCUCUAAGGGAUCCGCCUAUCCCUAGGUCCAUCGACCUCUAGUGUUCUUUACACUACAUUAAUGCCACUCGUUAUCAUUCCAUGUUUGGAUGUCACUCGUUUGUUCUUUAACAAUAACACUACUUUCUAUGUCAUCAAUACCCCCAUCGGGUUCAUCUCUUUUCUUUCGCACUAUAGGAUUCACGUCUCGACCCAAUCCUCACCUAUCUAAGUUACCAAGCGUUCCAAGUACACUAGGUUAUCAAUUAGAAAGCAUAAGGAAUUGAGCUACUAUGCAACCCUACAAUGCAACAUGAAGAGAUGAGAUUAAAUGCAAUCUAAGACAUAGAAAGGAGUUCGAAAGUUUCGGAUGACACCCCCCACCUUUUAUCAAUGUAGAGGCUUUGGAAAUUCUUGUCGGCGAGCUUCGCAAAAAGGCUUUAGCCUUCCUCGCCCGAAUCAAUGCUAGCCCGGCCCAAUUUUGCCGAGAACUCCACGUCGGUUCGCCGAAUGCCAAAAUCGACUUCGCCCCCGCGUUUUGGGACCUAACAAUAGGGUUUCCAAGGCUUCAAAUGAGAUCAAUCUCAUACAUUUACAAAAACCUCAUUUUGGAACCCUAGAUUUGCACCUAUAGCAAAUCACCCCAUAAAUCCCUAGAUUCUUGGGAUUGAUCUAUUUAGAAGCUUGCUUAGGGUCCAUUUGACCCAUUCCAAGGCAUAAAACCCAAAAACCCUAAGUUCUAGAAGCUAGGGUUUAGUAGCUUACCUCAAGAGCUACUCCAAUGGGAAGAGGAGAGGGAGUUGGAGGUGCUCAAAGCCUUCCUCUUGAUCUCCUUCCUCUUCUCCUUCCUUAUCUUCCUCUUCUUUUCCUUCCUCUCCUUCUUGUUCUUCUUCUCCUUCUUUCCUUUCUAGAGAGAGAGAGAGAGAGAGAGAAAUGAGAGUGAGAGAGAGGAAAUGAGAGAGUGUGAGGGAGAGAGAGGGCUCAGCCCACUCAAAUAAAUGCCAUUUUGCACAAAAGCCCCUCAACUUUUACCCCUGUGCACUGCCCUUACUGGGCAGUUUUCGCGCGGAGAGACCGGUCUCCCCGACUUGGGACCGGUCCCCGAGAGCUUCCCUCGGGCGCACGCGUUCGGGAACCGGUCUCUCCCCGGGAGACCGGUCCUCGGGAGACCGGUCCUCACCUGAGAGACCGGUCCCCGAGAGCUUGAUUUUCAGGACUUAGCCAAUUUUUGGCAUCUCACGCUGGGGCCACGUUCGGGAACCGGUCCCUCACCACCAGGGACCGGUUGCAUCACGCAACCCCGCAACACCCAGCCGAGGGAACCGGUCUCUCACCUGCAGAGACCGGUCCCCGAGAGCAACUUCUGCCCAAUGAUGCCAUUUGCCUCAUUUGCUCUCGCGGACUCAACUCCAAGGCACUUUUUGUGCUUUGGACAUUCUCAACUCCCACAAAGGGUAUACUUUCGACAAUUAGUCGAUCCUGGAUGAAGUACAAUCCUCGCAUUUCGAGAAUUC
Molecule: long non-coding RNA, 2993 nt
Filed under: Ananas comosus (pineapple)
Lineage: Eukaryota; Viridiplantae; Streptophyta; Magnoliopsida; Poales; Bromeliaceae
Description: long non-coding RNA (ACOM_LNC028019)
Source: RNAcentral